UGCAAGUCGAGCGAAUGGAUGGGAGCUUGCUCCCUGAAGUUAGCGGCGGACGGGUGAGUAACACGUGGGCAACCUGCCUGUAAGACUGGGAUAACUUCGGGAAACCGGAGCUAAUACCGGAUAAUUCUUUUCCUCACAUGAGGGAAAGCUGAAAGAUGGUUUCGGCUAUCACUUACAGAUGGGCCCGCGGCGCAUUAGCUAGUUGGUGAGGUAAUGGCUCACCAAGGCAACGAUGCGUAGCCGACCUGAGAGGGUGAUCGGCCACACUGGGACUGAGACACGGCCCAGACUCCUACGGGAGGCAGCAGUAGGGAAUCUUCCGCAAUGGACGAAAGUCUGACGGAGCAACGCCGCGUGAGUGAUGAAGGUUUUCGGAUCGUAAAACUCUGUUGUUAGGGAAGAACAAGUAUCGGAGUAACUGCCGGUACCUUGACGGUACCUAACCAGAAAGCCACGGCUAACUACGUGCCAGCAGCCGCGGUAAUACGUAGGUGGCAAGCGUUGUCCGGAAUUAUUGGGCGUAAAGCGCGCGCAGGCGGUCUUUUAAGUCUGAUGUGAAAGCCCACGGCUCAACCGUGGAGGGUCAUUGGAAACUGGAGGACUUGAGUGCAGAAGAGGAGAGUGGAAUUCCACGUGUAGCGGUGAAAUGCGUAGAGAUGUGGAGGAACACCAGUGGCGAAGGCGACUCUCUGGUCUGUAACUGACGCUGAGGCGCGAAAGCGUGGGGAGCGAACAGGAUUAGAUACCCUGGUAGUCCACGCCGUAAACGAUGAGUGCUAAGUGUUAGAGGGUUUCCGCCCUUUAGUGCUGCAGCUAACGCAUUAAGCACUCCGCCUGGGGAGUACGGCCGCAAGGCUGAAACUCAAAGGAAUUGACGGGGGCCCGCACAAGCGGUGGAGCAUGUGGUUUAAUUCGAAGCAACGCGAAGAACCUUACCAGGUCUUGACAUCCUCUGACAACCCUAGAGAUAGGGCUUUCCCCUUCGGGGGACAGAGUGACAGGUGGUGCAUGGUUGUCGUCAGCUCGUGUCGUGAGAUGUUGGGUUAAGUCCCGCAACGAGCGCAACCCUUGAUCUUAGUUGCCAGCAUUCAGUUGGGCACUCUAAGGUGACUGCCGGUGACAAACCGGAGGAAGGUGGGGAUGACGUCAAAUCAUCAUGCCCCUUAUGACCUGGGCUACACACGUGCUACAAUGGAUGGUACAAAGGGCUGCAAGACCGCGAGGUUAAGCGAAUCCCAUAAAACCAUUCUCAGUUCGGAUUGCAGGCUGCAACUCGCCUGCAUGAAGCCGGAAUCGCUAGUAAUCGUGGAUCAGCAUGCCACGGUGAAUACGUUCCCGGGCCUUGUACACACCGCCCGUCACACCACGAGAGUUUGUAACACCCGAAGUCGGUGGGGUAACCGCAAGGAGCAAGCUAGCCUA
This 1422-nucleotide ribosomal RNA is filed under the name Bacillus sp. (in: firmicutes). RNAcentral's name for it is "bacterial SSU rRNA". It matches the Rfam family "Bacterial small subunit ribosomal RNA". The record is from RNAcentral. Lineage: Bacteria; Bacillati; Bacillota; Bacilli; Caryophanales; Bacillaceae.